UCCCUGGUAGUCCAGUGGUUAGGAAUCUGCCUCACAAUGCAGGGGACACAAGUUCGAUCCUUGGCUGGGGAG
Molecule: transfer RNA, 72 nt
Filed under: Bos taurus (domestic cattle)
Lineage: Eukaryota; Metazoa; Chordata; Mammalia; Artiodactyla; Bovidae
Also listed under: 5 other names
Rfam family: tRNA
About the family: Transfer RNA (tRNA) molecules are approximately 80 nucleotides in length. Their secondary structure includes four short double-helical elements and three loops (D, anti-codon, and T loops). Further hydrogen bonds mediate the characteristic L-shaped molecular structure. tRNAs have two regions of fundamental functional importance: the anti-codon, which is responsible for specific mRNA codon recognition, and the 3' end, to which the tRNAs corresponding amino acid is attached (by aminoacyl-tRNA synthetases). tRNAs cope with the degeneracy of the genetic code in two manners: having more than one tRNA (with a specific anti-codon) for a particular amino acid; and 'wobble' base-pairing, i.e. permitting non-standard base-pairing at the 3rd anti-codon position.
Source: Rfam by way of RNAcentral